This 482-nucleotide ribosomal RNA is filed under the name uncultured bacterium. Its description in RNAcentral is "partial 16S ribosomal RNA". It matches the Rfam family "Bacterial small subunit ribosomal RNA", at positions 30 to 507 of the family's 1533-position model. The record is from RNAcentral.
AUUGAACGCUGGCGGCAUGCCUUACACAUGCAAGUCGAACGGUAACAGGUCUUCGGAUGCUGACGAGUGGCGCACGGGUGAGUAAUACAUCGGAACGUGCCCGAUCGUGGGGGAUAACGAGGCGAAAGCUUUGCUAAUACCGCAUACGAUCUACGGAUGAAAGCGGGGGAUCUUCGGACCUCGCGCGGACGGAGCGGCCGAUGGCAGAUUAGGUAGUUGGUGGGAUAAAAGCUUACCAAGCCGACGAUCUGUAGCUGGUCUGAGAGGAUGAUCAGCCACACUGGGACUGGGACACGGCCCAGACUCCUACGGGAGGCAGCAGUGGGGAAUUUUGGACAAUGGGCGAAAGCCUGAUCCAGCCAUGCCGCGUGCAGGAUGAAGGCCUUCGGGUUGUAAACUGCUUUUGUACGGAACGAAAAGCCUCUUUCUAAUAAAGAGAGGUCAUGACGGUACCGUAAGAAUAAGCACCGGCUAACUACGUG